This 467-nucleotide ribosomal RNA is filed under the name uncultured bacterium. Its description in RNAcentral is "partial 16S ribosomal RNA". It matches the Rfam family "Bacterial small subunit ribosomal RNA", at positions 28 to 507 of the family's 1533-position model. The record is from RNAcentral.
GACGAACGCUGGCGGCGUGCUUAACACAUGCAAGUCGAACGGAAAGGCCCUGCUUUUGUGGGGUGCUCGAGUGGCGAACGGGUGAGUAACACGUGAGUAACCUGCCCUUGACUUUGGGAUAACUUCAGGAAACUGGGGCUAAUACCGGAUAGGAGCUCCUGCUGCAUGGUGGGGGUUGGAAAGUUUCGGCGGUUGGGGAUGGACUCGCGGCUUAUCAGCUUGUUGGUGGGGUAGUGGCUUACCAAGGCUUUGACGGGUAGCCGGCCUGAGAGGGUGACCGGCCACAGUGGGAUGGGGGAGGGGCCCAGACUCCUACGGGAGGAAGGGGGGGGGAAUUUUGCAAAAGGGGCGGAGGGCGGAGGGAAGAACGGCGGGGGGGGGAUGACGGCUUUUGGGGUGUAAACCGUUUUCGCUUGGGCGGAAGCGGGGGGGAGGGUAAUGGGAAAAAAAGCACGGGUUAACCAGUG